Molecule: non-coding RNA, 135 nt
Organism: Triticum aestivum (bread wheat)
Lineage: Eukaryota; Viridiplantae; Streptophyta; Magnoliopsida; Poales; Poaceae
Source: Rfam
AUUGUACUCCCUCCGUCCCAAAAUUCUUGUCUUAGAUUUGUCUAGAUACGGAUGUAUCUAUUCAUGUUUUAGUGUAAGAUACAUCCGUAUCUAGAUAAAUCUAAGACAAGAAUUUUGGGACGGAGGGAGUACAAU